UGGGGAAUAUUGGACAAUGGGCGAAAGCCUGAUCCAGCAAUGCCGCGUGAGUGAUGAAGGCCUUCGGGUUGUAAAGCUCUUUUGGCGGGGACGAUUAUGACGGUACCCGCAGAAUAAGCUCCGACUAACUUCGUGCCAGCAGUCGCGGUAAUACGAAGGGGGCUAGCGUUGCUCGGAAUUACUGGGCGUAAAGGGCGUGUAGGCGGCCUGCCAAGUCAGAUGUGAAAGCCCCGGGCUUAACCUGGGAACUGCAUUUGAUACUGGUAGGCUAGAGUUCGGGAGAGGACAGUAGAAUUGCUAGUGUAGAGGUGAAAUUCGUAGAUAUUAGCAGGAACACCGGUGGCGAAAGCGGCUGUCUGGAACGUAACUGACGCUGAGGCGCGAAAGCGUGGGGAGCAAA
This 400-nucleotide ribosomal RNA is filed under the name uncultured bacterium. RNAcentral's name for it is "bacterial SSU rRNA". It matches the Rfam family "Bacterial small subunit ribosomal RNA", at positions 355 to 772 of the family's 1533-position model. The record is from RNAcentral.